This 279-nucleotide ribosomal RNA is filed under the name uncultured bacterium. RNAcentral's name for it is "partial 16S ribosomal RNA". It matches the Rfam family "Bacterial small subunit ribosomal RNA", at positions 506 to 784 of the family's 1533-position model. The record is from RNAcentral.
UGCCAGCCGCCGCGGUAAUACGGAGGGGGUUAGCGUUGUUCGGAAUUACUGGGCGUAAAGCGCACGUAGGCGGAUUGGAAAGUUAGGGGUGAAAUCCCGGGGCUCAACCCCGGAACUGCCUCUAAUACUGGUAGUCUAGAGUUCGAGAGAGGUGAGUGGAAUUCCGGGUGUAGCGGUGAAAUGCGUUGAUAUCAGGAGGAACGCCGGAGGCGAAAGCGACUAUCUGGGCCAUAACUGACGCUGAUGUGCGAAAGCUAGGGGAGCAAACGGGAUUAGAUA